CCUACGGGAGGCAGCAGGGGGGAAUAUUGGACAAUGGGCGAAAGCCUGAUCCAGCCAUGCCGCGUGUGUGAAGAAGGCCUUUUGGUUGUAAAGCACUUUAAGCGAGGAGGAGGCUACCGAGAUUAAUACUCUUGGAUAGUGGACGUUACUCGCAGAAUAAGCACCGGCUAACUCUGUGCCAGCAGCCGCGUAAU
Molecule: ribosomal RNA, 194 nt
Filed under: uncultured bacterium
Lineage: Bacteria
Description: partial 16S ribosomal RNA
Rfam family: Bacterial small subunit ribosomal RNA
Source: RNAcentral